This 468-nucleotide ribosomal RNA is filed under the name uncultured bacterium. RNAcentral describes it as "partial 16S ribosomal RNA". It matches the Rfam family "Bacterial small subunit ribosomal RNA", at positions 28 to 507 of the family's 1533-position model. The record is from RNAcentral.
GACGAACGCUGGCGGCGUGCUUAACACGUGCAAGUCGAACGGAAAGGCCCUGCUUUUGUGGGGUGCUCGAGUGGCGAACGGGUGAGUAACACGUGAGUAACCUGCCCUUGACUUUGGGAUAACUUCAGGAAACUGGGGCUAAUACCGGAUAGGAGCUCCUGCUGCAUGGUGGGGGUUGGAAAGUUUCGGCGGUUGGGGAUGGACUCGCGGCUUAUCAGCUUGUUGGUGGGGUAGUGGCUUACCAAGGCUUUGACGGGUAGCCGGCCUGAGAGGGUGACCGGCCACAUUGGGACUGAGAUACGGCCCAGACUCCUACGGGAGGCAGCAGUGGGGAAUAUUGCACAAUGGGCGGAAGCCUGAUGCAGCAACGCCGCGUGCGGGAUGACGGCCUUCGGGUUGUAAACCGCUUUCGCCUGUGACGAAGUGUGAGUGACGGUAAUGGGUAAAGAAGCACCGGCUAACUACGUG